UACGUAGGACCCGAGCGUUGUCCGGAAUUACUGGGUAUAAAGGGUGCGCAGGCGGCCGUGUGCGUCAGAGGUGAAAUCUCCGGGCUUAACCCGGAGGGUGCCUUUGAUACGGCAUGGCUUGAGUCCGAGAGAGGGUGAUGGAAUUCCUGGUGUAGCAGUGAAAUGCGUAGAUAUCAGGAGGAACACCGGUGGCGAAGGCGGUCACCUGGCUCGGCACUGACGCUUAGGCACGAAAGCGUGGGGAUCAAACAGGAUUAGAUACCCUGGUAGUCCACGCCCUAAACGAUGUAUGCUUGGUGUUGGAUC
Molecule: ribosomal RNA, 306 nt
Filed under: uncultured bacterium
Lineage: Bacteria
Description: bacterial SSU rRNA
Rfam family: Bacterial small subunit ribosomal RNA
Source: RNAcentral